RNAcentral lists this long non-coding RNA (361 nucleotides) under Homo sapiens (human). RNAcentral's name for it is "non-protein coding lnc-ANAPC11-2:9". Lineage: Eukaryota; Metazoa; Chordata; Mammalia; Primates; Hominidae. The record is from RNAcentral.
CUCAGCAAUGUGUGCACUUGGUCCCUUGUUUGUUCCUGGCUGGGUCAGGGAAGGCCUGCCGGGGGUGGUGGCACUGAGAGCCUGGGGGAACAGGCGCCAGGUGGGGUGAGUGAGGCUGUCCAUCGAGGGCUCUUGGGGGGGUGUGGGCUCUGGGCACUGCCCGCUGAGACAGAAAAGGCAGAGGCAGGACAAUACCCAGCCUCCUGGAUGGUACUGAGGUGACUUGAGUUUUGGCAAUUUGGCUUUCCCCAAGCCGCCGGAGCCAUCUCCACAGCCCUGUCCAGGGAAGGGGGCAGGCUGGCCAGGCACUGGUGGGCUGGGGAGCAGCAGCAGCACACCCCACGUGUCCCUGGGUCACUGG